RNAcentral lists this ribosomal RNA (839 nucleotides) under Pseudomonas synxantha. Its description in RNAcentral is "bacterial SSU rRNA". It matches the Rfam family "Bacterial small subunit ribosomal RNA", at positions 37 to 871 of the family's 1533-position model. Lineage: Bacteria; Pseudomonadati; Pseudomonadota; Gammaproteobacteria; Pseudomonadales; Pseudomonadaceae. The record is from RNAcentral.
UGGCGGCAGGCCUAACACAUGCAAGUCGAGCGGUAGAGAGAAGCUUGCUUCUCUUGAGAGCGGCGGACGGGUGAGUAAUGCCUAGGAAUCUGCCUGGUAGUGGGGGAUAACGUUCGGAAACGGACGCUAAUACCGCAUACGUCCUACGGGAGAAAGCAGGGGACCUUCGGGCCUUGCGCUAUCAGAUGAGCCUAGGUCGGAUUAGCUAGUUGGUGGGGUAAUGGCUCACCAAGGCGACGAUCCGUAACUGGUCUGAGAGGAUGAUCAGUCACACUGGAACUGAGACACGGUCCAGACUCCUACGGGAGGCAGCAGUGGGGAAUAUUGGACAAUGGGCGAAAGCCUGAUCCAGCCAUGCCGCGUGUGUGAAGAAGGUCUUCGGAUUGUAAAGCACUUUAAGUUGGGAGGAAGGGUUGUAGAUUAAUACUCUGCAAUUUUUACGUUACCGGCAGAAUAAGCACCGGAUAACUCUGUGCCAGCAGCCGCGGUAAUACAGAGGGUGCAAGCGUUAAUCGGAAUUACUGGGCGUAAAGCGCGCGUAGGUGGUUUGUUAAGUUGGAUGUGAAAUCCCCGGGCUCAACCUGGGAACUGCAUUCAAAACUGACUGACUAGAGUAUGGUAGAGGGUGGUGGAAUUUCCUGUGUAGCGGUGAAAUGCGUAGAUAUAGGAAGGAACACCAGUGGCGAAGGCGACCACCUGGACUGAUACUGACACUGAGGUGCGAAAGCGUGGGGAGCAAACAGGAUUAGAUACCCUGGUAGUCCACGCCGUAAACGAUGUCAACUAGCCGUUGGGAGCCUUGAGCUCUUAGUGGCGCAGCUAACGCAUUAAGUUGACCG